UGUGGUGAGCCAGGCUUGAGCUGGACGGGAGCUGAGGGGCUGAGGACCCUGAGGAUGCCCCCUCACCCAGGACUCACACCAGCCCCACGUCAGACAGGGACUCUGUCCCCAGAGCCUUGGGGAGCCAUGGAGGUGUGGAGCCCCAGCAGAGGGGCAGCUAGGGCACGGCGGGCUUCGGAAGCGGUGAGGCUGCAGGAGGGGCCCAGCAAACCCCACAUCCAAAGUGGAGCGUGAACUCACGACCCUGAGAUCAAGAGUCACUGAGCCAGCUGGAUGCCUCCAAAUGUUUGUGCUUAAGUGGCUGGAAAAACUCAGAAGAAGAGUUAUUUUGUGACACAUGAAGGGAUAUGACAUCAGUGUCUGUUAAUAAAGUUUUAUUGGCACAGCCACACGCUUUCGCUGGUCUGCGGCUGCUUUCAUGAUACACCAGCAGAGUCGAGCAGCUGUGACAGAGUCUGUUGGGCCGGUAAAGCUGAGGAGAGCUGACCUCUGGCCCUUCACAGGACAGGUUGGCUGACCUGCUCUCACGUCCCUGGACAGUGACACGGGCACCUCCCGGAGCCCAGCCGUCUCCUUCGUUGCUGGCGGACCGUGGGAGGGAGGAGCGGCCCCGGCCUGGAGGCAGCAGCGGACUCGGGGCCAGCGCCCCCCAACCACGAUUCUCACGAUGCCCCUCGGGCAGCCGGGGAGCGGCUUCCCGGAGGAGGAGGAGCCCCCCGGGCAUGGACUUGUGCCGGGGACCGGGGCGAACCCGGCUGCGUCGACAGCGGCCCGCACGUGGAACUCGUGGGGCGACGUGCGUGUUGCGGGGGGGUGUUUGGCCGGGAGGCUCCUGAGGAGGUGACAAUUCAGCUGCGACCUGGACCUUCUCUGUCUCAGAAAAUAAAUAUGUAAACACUUGAA
Molecule: long non-coding RNA, 903 nt
Organism: Suricata suricatta (meerkat)
Lineage: Eukaryota; Metazoa; Chordata; Mammalia; Carnivora; Herpestidae
Exons: 2
Source: RefSeq, a predicted model, not a curated record